RNAcentral lists this long non-coding RNA (530 nucleotides) under Phoenix dactylifera (date palm). RNAcentral's name for it is "long non-coding RNA (PDAC_LNC018641)". Lineage: Eukaryota; Viridiplantae; Streptophyta; Magnoliopsida; Arecales; Arecaceae. The record is from RNAcentral.
AACCUUCUCCUGACUUCUUCUCUUUCCCCCCUUUUCUUUCUUCUUCCUUCUUCUUUCUCCUGACUUCUUCUCCUUCCCCCCCUUUCUUUCUUCUUCUUUCUUCUCUCGAAGCUUCCUCUCCUUCCUUUUUUUUUUCAUCUUCUCCCCUUCCCCUCUUCUCCCAUGACCAUGGAGGGGGAGGUGCGACCCCAUGUCGAGGCUCGGGAGGGGGCAGCCUGAGGCCGGUGGCACCGGCUGCGCCUGCGGCUAGCCGGCAAUGCCCACGGUGGGGACCAGCGGCGUCGGCGACGCUUGCGGCCGCACACGGGUAAGUCCCCUCUUCCCUCUCUUCUUCUUUCGUUCUUUUUUUCUUUUUUUUAUCAAAUGGCACAACAAGGAGGUGAAGGUUGAGAACCCUUACCUUAGCCCCGGCGAAGAUCCGAUGGCUUUCUUCCUCUCCGGCGGCUCUCUUCCUCUCCGGCGGCAAUGGAACCACCCGGAUCAAAGAAGACCGGCUUCAACGGCUCCCUCUCUCUCUCUCUCUCUCUCUC